This 408-nucleotide ribosomal RNA is filed under the name Carnobacterium sp. AZTITEMP40. RNAcentral's name for it is "bacterial SSU rRNA". It matches the Rfam family "Bacterial small subunit ribosomal RNA", at positions 966 to 1378 of the family's 1533-position model. The record is from RNAcentral. Lineage: Bacteria; Bacillati; Bacillota; Bacilli; Lactobacillales; Carnobacteriaceae.
ACUNNNNNGUCUUGACNUCCUUUGACCNCUCGAGAGANCGAGCUUUCCCUUCGGGGACAAAGUGACAGGUGGUGCAUGGUUGUCGUCAGCUCGUGUCGUGAGAUGUUGGGUUAAGUCCCGCAACGAGCGCAACCCUUAUUACUAGUUGCCAGCAUUCAGUUGGGCACUCUAGUGAGACUGCCGGUGACAAACCGGAGGAAGGUGGGGAUGACGUCAAAUCAUCAUGCCCCUUAUGACCUGGGCUACACACGUGCUACAAUGGAUGGUACAACGAGUCGCGAAGUCGUGAGGCCAAGCUAAUCUCUUAAAGCCAUUCUCAGUUCGGAUUGUAGGCUGCAACUCGCCUACAUGAAGCCGGAAUCGCUAGUAAUCGCGGAUCAGAACGCCGCGGUGAAUACGUUCCCGGGA